GACGAACGCUGGCGGCGUGCUUAACACAUGCAAGUCGAACGGAAAGGCCCUGCUUUUGUGGGGUGCUCGAGUGGCGAACGGGUGAGUAACACGUGAGUAACCUGCCCUUGACUUUGGGAUAACUUCAGGAAACUGGGGCUAAUACCGGAUAGGAGCUCCUGCUACAUGGUGGGGGUUGGAAAGUUUCGGCGGUUGGGGAUGGACUCGCGGCUUAUCAGCUUGUUGGUGGGGUAGUGGCUUACCAAGGCUUUGACGGGUAGCCGGCCUGAGAGGGUGACCGGCCACAUUGGGACUGAGAGACGGCCCAGACUCCUACGGGAGGCAGCAGUGGGGAAUAUUGCACAAUGGGCGGAAGCCUGAUGCAGCAACGCCGCGUGCGGGAUGACGGCCUUCGGGUUGUAAACCGCUUUCGCCUGUGACGAAGCGUGAGUGACGGUAAUGGGUAAAGAAGCACCGGCUAACUACGUG
This 468-nucleotide ribosomal RNA is filed under the name uncultured bacterium. RNAcentral's name for it is "partial 16S ribosomal RNA". It matches the Rfam family "Bacterial small subunit ribosomal RNA", at positions 28 to 507 of the family's 1533-position model. The record is from RNAcentral.